Molecule: ribosomal RNA, 253 nt
Filed under: uncultured bacterium
Lineage: Bacteria
Description: partial 16S ribosomal RNA
Rfam family: Bacterial small subunit ribosomal RNA
Source: RNAcentral
UACGUAGGUGGCAAGCGUUGUCCGGAUUUAUUGGGUUUAAAGGGUGCGUAGGCGGUCUAUUAAGUCAGUUGUGAAAUACGGCAGCUCAACUGUCGAGGUGCAAUUGAUACUGAUGGACUUGAGUACUGAUGAGGUAAGCGGAAUGGACGGUGUAGCGGUGAAAUGCUUAGAUAUCGUCCAGAACACCGAUAGCGAAGGCAGCUUACUAAGGAGUAACUGACGCUGAGGCACGAAGGUGUGGGGAUCAAACAGG